This 391-nucleotide ribosomal RNA is filed under the name Geobacteraceae bacterium. Its description in RNAcentral is "bacterial SSU rRNA". It matches the Rfam family "Bacterial small subunit ribosomal RNA", at positions 1153 to 1533 of the family's 1533-position model. Lineage: Bacteria; Pseudomonadati; Thermodesulfobacteriota; Desulfuromonadia; Geobacterales; Geobacteraceae. The record is from RNAcentral.
CGGUAUCAAGCCGGAGGAAGGUGGGGAUGACGUCAAGUCAGCAUGGCCUUUAUAUCCGGGGCUACACACACGCUACAAUGGCCAGUACAAUGGGUAGCGAAUCUGCGAAGAGGAGCCAAUCCUGAAAGCUGGUCUCAGUUCAGAUUGCAGGCUGAAACCCGCCUGCAUGAAGUCGGAGUUGCUAGUAACCGCGCGUCAGCAUUAGUGCGGUGAAUACGUUCCCGGGCCUUGUACACACCGCCCGUCACGUCAUGGGAGCUGGCAACACCUGAAGCCGAUAGCCUAACCGCAAGGAGGGCGUCGUCGAAGGUGGGGCUGGUGACUGGGACGAAGUCGUAACAAGGUAGGUGUACCGGAAGGUGCGCCUGGAUCACCUCCUUUCUAGGGAGCA